RNAcentral lists this ribosomal RNA (301 nucleotides) under uncultured bacterium. Its description in RNAcentral is "partial 16S ribosomal RNA". It matches the Rfam family "Bacterial small subunit ribosomal RNA", at positions 509 to 807 of the family's 1533-position model. The record is from RNAcentral.
CAGUAGCCGCGGGAAUACAGAGGGUGCGAGCGUUAAUCGGAUUUACUGGGCGUAAAGCGUGCGUAGGCGGCUAAUUGAGUCGGAUGUGAAAUCCCCGAGCUUAACUUUGGAAUUGCAUUCGAUACUGGUUAGCUAGAGUGUGGGAGAGGAUGGUAGAAUUCCAGGUGUAGCGGUGAAAUGCGUAGAGAUCUGGAGGAAUACCGAUGGCGAAGGCAGCCAUCUGGCCUAACACUGACGCUGAGGUACGAAAGCAUGGGGAGCAAACAGGAUUAGAUACCCGUGUAGUCCCUGUCUCUUAUAC